This is a long non-coding RNA of Tachysurus fulvidraco (yellow catfish), 916 nucleotides long. RefSeq lists it as uncharacterized. NCBI's taxonomy places the organism in Eukaryota, Metazoa, Chordata, Actinopteri, Siluriformes, Bagridae. The transcript has 2 exons. The record is from RefSeq and is a predicted model, not a curated record.
GAGCCAAAGAAACAACACAGAGCUUAGCAGCUAAUAAUAUCCAGGUCAGACUGUAAGCGGGAUAAACAUUUGACCGAGACGUCGGGAAUUUCACGAAGGGAUCCGAAAAAGCCUGAUGUUUACUGCCAGGUGAAAAACAAGCUGAGGGCUUGCAAGAGAGCCUGACGUUCGGCGACAUUCAAUCUGGAUUUCGACUUGUUCACUGGCAACCUCAAUCCGAUCUACAAAACAAAGAAAGUGCUGUUUGGUGUCUGUGCACAGCAGCAGAUAAACCUACAAGACGUCCUUCUGAUCGGGUUGCCGCACGAACGAAACAUGUUACGAUCGACAGGAGCAACCGAUCCAGCAGGAACAUCUGGAUAGAGCAAUUGUUAAAAACGAAUAAACAAAUAAAAGAAAUUACGGACGAUGCUACGGAGCGACGUCAUGAAGGUGAAUCGUUAAACGGUGGAUACUGAACACACUGUUCAAUGUGUAUGAGAGGGAAAGAGACUAAAAAGCAGACUGGAUCUCAUCCUAACAGAUGUGUGUAACAUGUUAAAAAGCAGCAGGCCUGUGAACUGUGAAGCUUCCCAGCAGACACCGUCUCUCACUGUAAGGCUCCUCUGAUGGUGUCUGUCGGUCUGUCAGACAUGUUUAUUACUCGCAACAGCAAAAACAUGUCGUUUCAUGGACGGCGAGGAAACACGGCAGCUCUGAGAGUAUGUCAUCUACAGUAAGUAGAACAGUGAGAUGUGUAAUCAUCUGGAAACAGCUCACUUCACAACAAAGGAACUACUGACUGCAUUGAUCUCUAUGGAGGCCUGCAUUUUCUUUCAGAAACAGAGGUCUAACAGAGUUACAUCAUUCUCCAAAAUUCACACACACACACACACACACACACACACACACACACACACACACACACACACACACA